GACGGAGGGUGCUAGCGUUGUUCGGAAUCACUGGGCGUAAAGGGCGCGUAGGCGGCCUCAGGUGUCGGAUGUGAAAGCCCGGGGCUCAACCCCGGAGGUGCAUCCGAAACUCUGGGGCUGGAGGUCGGAAGAGGAGGGUGGAAUACCCAGUGUAGAGGUGAAAUUCGUAGAUAUUGGGUGGAACACCGGUGGCGAAAGCGGCUCUCUGGCUCGACCCUGACGCUGAGAGGCGAAAGCGUGGGGAGCGAACGGG
This 253-nucleotide ribosomal RNA is filed under the name uncultured bacterium. RNAcentral's name for it is "partial 16S ribosomal RNA". It matches the Rfam family "Bacterial small subunit ribosomal RNA", at positions 524 to 776 of the family's 1533-position model. The record is from RNAcentral.